UCAACUCCUCCAUCUGGGAAGCUGGGCUGC
This 30-nucleotide non-coding RNA is filed under the name Macaca fascicularis (crab-eating macaque). Lineage: Eukaryota; Metazoa; Chordata; Mammalia; Primates; Cercopithecidae. The record is from RNAcentral. RNAcentral also lists the same sequence under 1 other name.